CCUCAGAAUGGUUGGAAAUCAUUCAUAGAGUGUAAAGGCAUAAGGGAGCUUGACUGCGAGACCUACAAGUCGAGCAGGGUCGAAAGACGGACUUAGUGAUCCGGUGGUUCCGCAUGGAAGGGCCAUCGCUCAACGGAUAAAAGCUACCCCGGGGAUAACAGGCUUAUCUCCCCCAAGAGUUCACAUCGACGGGGAGGUUUGGCACCUCGAUGUCGGCUCAUCGCAUCCUGGGGCUGUAGUCGGUCCCAAGGGUUGGGCUGUUCGCCCAUUAAAGCGGUACGCGAGCUGGGUUCAGAACGUCGUGAGACAGUUCGGUCCCUAUCCGUCGUGGGCGUAGGAAAUUUGAGAGGAGCUGUCCUUAGUACGAGAGGACCGGGAUGGACAUACCUCUGGUGUACCAGUUGUCGUGCCAACGGCAUAGCUGGGUAGCUAUGUGUGGACGGGAUAAGUGCUGAAAGCAUCUAAGCAUGAAGCCCCCCUCAAGAUGAGAUUUCCCAACUUCGGUUAUAAGAUCCCUCAAAGAUGAUGAGGUUAAUAGGUUCGAGGUGGAAGCAUGGUGACAUGUGGAGCUGACGAAUACUAAUCGAUCGAAGACUUAAUCAA
Molecule: ribosomal RNA, 603 nt
Filed under: Staphylococcus aureus
Lineage: Bacteria; Bacillati; Bacillota; Bacilli; Caryophanales; Staphylococcaceae
Description: partial 23S ribosomal RNA
Rfam family: Bacterial large subunit ribosomal RNA
Source: RNAcentral